This 483-nucleotide ribosomal RNA is filed under the name uncultured bacterium. Its description in RNAcentral is "partial 16S ribosomal RNA". It matches the Rfam family "Bacterial small subunit ribosomal RNA", at positions 30 to 506 of the family's 1533-position model. The record is from RNAcentral.
AUUGAACGCUGGCGGCAGGCCUAACACAUGCAAGUCGAGCGGAUGAAGGGAGCUUGCUCCUGGAUUCAGCGGCGGACGGGUGAGUAAUGCCUAGGAAUCUGCCUGGUAGUGGGGGAUAACGUCCGGAAACGGGCGCUAAUACCGCAUACGUCCUGAGUGAGAAAGUGGGGGAUCUUCGGACCUCACGCUAUCAGAUGAGCCUAGGUCGGAUUAGCUAGUUGGUGGGGUAAAGGCCUACCAAGGCGACGAUCCGUAACUGGUCUGAGAGGAUGAUCAGUCACACUGGAACUGAGAAACGGUCCAGCCUCCUACGGGAGGCAGCAGUGGGGAAUAUUGGACAAUGGGCGAAAGCCUGAUCAAGCCAUGCCGCGUGUGUGAAGAAGGUCUUCGGAUUGUAAAGCCCUUUAAGUUGGGAGGAAGGGCAGUAAGUUAAUACCUUGCUGUUUUGACGUUACCAACAGAAUAAGCACCGGCUAACUUCGU